UGGGGAAUAUUGCACAAUGGGCGAAAGCCUGAUGCAGCAACGCCGCGUGAGGGACGACGGCCUUCGGGUUGUAAACCUCUUUUAGCAAGGAAGAAGCGAAAGUGACGGUACUUGCAGAAAAAGCGCCGGCUAACUACGUGCCAGCAGCCGCGGUAAUACGUAGGGCGCAAGCGUUAUCCGGAAUUAUUGGGCGUAAAGAGCUCGUAGGCGGUUUGUCGCGUCUGCUGUGAAAACCCGAGGCUCAACCUCGGGCCUGCAGUGGGUACGGGCAGACUAGAGUGCGGUAGGGGAGAUUGAAACUCCUGGUGUAGCGGUGGAAUGCGCAGAUAUCAGGAAGAACACCGAUGGCGAAGGCAGAUCUCUGGGCCGUAACUGACGCUGAGGAGCGAAAGGGUGGGGAGCAAACAGGCUUAGAUACCCUGGUAGUCCACCCGUAACGUUGGAACUAGUUGUGGGUCCAUUCCACGGAUUCCGUGACGCAGCUAACGCAUUAAGUUCCCCGCCUGGGGAGUACGGCCGCAAGGCUAAAACUUAAAUGAAUUGACGGGGUCAUAGCUGUUUCCU
This 564-nucleotide ribosomal RNA is filed under the name uncultured bacterium. RNAcentral describes it as "partial 16S ribosomal RNA". It matches the Rfam family "Bacterial small subunit ribosomal RNA", at positions 355 to 1375 of the family's 1533-position model. The record is from RNAcentral.